GCCCAUUUGAAUGGAAAAGAAAUUAGGGUGAAUAAUUUAAUUUAUUUUAUGUCGUGACUGGGCCCAUUUGAAUGGGUCGCCUACGUAUCCGAUUCGUGGGUGAAUUCAAGUCGGAAUCAAGUCACACGUAGUUCUAAGUAAUAAAAACUUUUUUUCGGUGAACCGGUUCGUUUAAUAUUGUGAUUGCACCCACGGGUUGAGUUGCCCAUAUCUAUGUCCGCGUUCCGACUCGAUCAAGUCAACCUAGUUCCUGGGUAAAGGAAUUUUGAGUCAGGUCAACAUGGUCCCCCACCUGGAUGAGACUCUAACACGAUGACUACAAGUUCAAGAAAUACAUUGAGAUGAUUGAUGAAUUGUGGUUUUAACCCCGAAGGCGUCCUAAGAUUUGGAAUUUUUGGGGAUCCUCACGAGAUUGAUUAUUUGUCUAAUCCUAAUUUAUAUCAUUCCUAUGAUGGAGAAAGCAAGGGUAAUGGAGGACAAAGUCGACUGAAA
This 492-nucleotide long non-coding RNA is filed under the name Actinidia chinensis (golden kiwifruit). Its description in RNAcentral is "long non-coding RNA (ACHI_LNC007554)". Lineage: Eukaryota; Viridiplantae; Streptophyta; Magnoliopsida; Ericales; Actinidiaceae. The record is from RNAcentral.